CCCGCCCCGGAUGGGUCUAGCAUGCGAGUCGUUGUAGCAUACAAGGCGGACGGCUCAGUAACACGUAGCCAACCUAACCUAUGGACGUGGAUAACCUCGGGAAACUGAGAAUAAACCGCGAUAGAUCAUUAUGCCUGGAAUGGCUUAUGGUUUAAACAAUUUAUUGCCGUAGGAUGGGACUGCGGCCUAUCAGCUUGCUGGUGAGGUAAUGGCCCACCAAGGCCAUAACAGGUACGGGCUCUGAGAGGAGAAGCCCGGAGAUGGGUACUGAGACACGGACCCAGGCCCUAUGGGGCGCAGCAGGCGAGAAACCUUAGCAAUGUGCGAAAGCACGACUAGGUUAGUCCGAGUGAUUUCUGUUGAAGAAGUCUUUUGUCAGUCGUAAAACCACAGAUGAAUAAGGGGUGGGCAAGUCUGGUGUCAGCCGCCGCGGUAAUACCAGCACCUCGAGUGGUCAGGAGGUUUAUUGGGCCUAAAGCAUCCGUAGCCGGCUUUGCAAGUCUCCGGUUAAAUCCAGCUGCUUAACAGAUGGGCUGCCGGAGAUACUACAAAGCUAGGGAGCGGGAGAGGUAGACGGUAUUCGGUGGGUAGGGGUAAAAUCCACUGAUCCAUCGAGGACCACCAGUGGCGAAGGCGGUCUACCAGAACGCGUUCGACGGUGAGGGAUGAAAGCUGGGGGAGCAAACCGGAUUAGAUACCCGGGUAGUCCCAGCUGUAAACGAUGCAAACUCGGUGAUGCAUUGGCUUAUGGCCAAUGCAGUGCCGCAGGGAAGCCGUUAAGUUUGCCGCCUGGGAAGUACGGACGCAAGUCUGAAACUUAAAGGAAUUGGCGGGGGAGCACCACAAGGGGUGAAGCCUGCGGUUCAAUUGGAUUCAACGCCGGG
RNAcentral lists this ribosomal RNA (884 nucleotides) under uncultured archaeon. RNAcentral's name for it is "bacterial SSU rRNA". It matches the Rfam family "Archaeal small subunit ribosomal RNA", at positions 26 to 922 of the family's 1478-position model. The record is from RNAcentral.